GACAGAGGCCUCAAGCGUUAGGCGGAAUCACUGGGCUUAAAGCGUGUGUAGGCGGAUCGUUAAGUGUCUUGUGAAAUCCCACGGCUCACCCGUGGAACUGCUGGGCAUACUGGCGAUCUUGGGCCAACUAGGGGCAACUGGAACAAGCGGUGGAGCGGUGAAAUGCGUAGAUAUCGCUUGGAACGCCAAAGGUGAAAACAGGUUGCUGGGCCGACACUGACGCUGAGUGCGCGAAAGCCAGGGGAGCAAACGGG
RNAcentral lists this ribosomal RNA (254 nucleotides) under uncultured bacterium. RNAcentral describes it as "partial 16S ribosomal RNA". It matches the Rfam family "Bacterial small subunit ribosomal RNA", at positions 524 to 776 of the family's 1533-position model. The record is from RNAcentral.